ACCAAGGAGUCUAGCAUGUGCGCGAGUCAUUGGGAAUGCACUAAACCUAAAGGCGAAAUGAAAGUGAAUGUCCGCCUCGCGCGGACAGAGGGAGGAUGGGCCGACCCUAGGGCGGCUCCGCACUCCCGGGGCGUCUCGUUCUCAUCGCGAGAUGAGGCGCACCCAGAGCGUACACGCUGGGACCCGAAAGAUGGUGAACUAUGCCUGGUCAGGACGAAGUCAGGGGAAACCCUGAUGGAGGUCCGUAGCGAUUCUGACGUGCAAAUCGAUCGUCGGAACUGGGUAUAGGGGCGAAAGACUAAUCGAACCAUCUAGUAGCUGGUUCCCUCCGAAGUUUCCCUCAGGAUAGCUGGCGCUCGCCGCGUGCGAGUCUCAUCCGGUAAAGCGAAUGAUUAGAGGCAUUGGGGUCGAAACGGCCUCAACCUAUUCUCAAACUUUAAAUGGGUGAGAUCUCCGGCUUGCUCGAACACGUGAAGCCGCGAGAUUUCGGAUCAGAGUGCCAAGUGGGCCACUUUUGGUAAGCAGAACUGGCGCUGUGGGAUGAACCAAACGCAGAGUUAAAGCGCCCAAAUCGACGCUUAUGGGAUACCAUGAAAGGCGUUGGUAACUUAAGACAGCAGG
This 621-nucleotide ribosomal RNA is filed under the name Figulus binodulus. Its description in RNAcentral is "eukaryotic LSU rRNA". It matches the Rfam family "Eukaryotic large subunit ribosomal RNA", at positions 665 to 1244 of the family's 3401-position model. The record is from RNAcentral. Lineage: Eukaryota; Metazoa; Arthropoda; Insecta; Coleoptera; Lucanidae.